AUUGAACGCUGGCGGCAUGCCUUACACAUGCAAGUCGAACGGCAGCACGGGAGCUUGCUCCUGGUGGCGAGUGGCGAACGGGUGAGUAAUACAUCGGAACGUACCCUGAAGUGGGGGAUAACGUAGCGAAAGUUACGCUAAUACCGCAUAUUCUGUGAGCAGGAAAGAGGGGGAUCGCAAGACCUCUUGCUUUAGGAGCGGCCGAUGUCGGAUUAGCUAGUUGGUGAGGUAAAGGCUCACCAAGGCGACGAUCCGUAGCGGGUCUGAGAGGAUGAUCCGCCACACUGGGACUGAGACACGGCCCAGACUCCUACGGGAGGCAGUAGUGGGGGAAUUUUGGGACAAUGGGCGCAAGCCUGAUCCAGCCAUGCCGCGUGAGUGAAGAAGGCCUCGGUUGUAAGA
This 402-nucleotide ribosomal RNA is filed under the name uncultured bacterium. RNAcentral describes it as "bacterial SSU rRNA". It matches the Rfam family "Bacterial small subunit ribosomal RNA", at positions 30 to 430 of the family's 1533-position model. The record is from RNAcentral.